This 65-nucleotide transfer RNA is filed under the name Birgus latro. RNAcentral describes it as "tRNA-Asp". The record is from RNAcentral. Lineage: Eukaryota; Metazoa; Arthropoda; Malacostraca; Decapoda; Coenobitidae.
GGCUGAUUAGUUAAAUUAUAAUGUAGGCUUGUCAAGCCUAAGUUAUCCAAAGGGGAUAUCACCCG